Molecule: long non-coding RNA, 1343 nt
Organism: Daktulosphaira vitifoliae (grape phylloxera)
Lineage: Eukaryota; Metazoa; Arthropoda; Insecta; Hemiptera; Phylloxeridae
Exons: 2
Source: RefSeq, a predicted model, not a curated record
CAAUACACUAAAUCUAAAAAUAAUUGGUAAAUAGGUAUAAAAAAAAAAUUGGCUGAAUUCUUGAUAAAUCAAUUAUUAUUGAUUAGAAAGACAACUUCCAUUAUCGUGUUGUGAUGUUUUAAGAUAAACCUAACCUCUAACAAUUAUAACAGAUUGAUAACAGCUUAUCAAUAUUCAUAUGAUUUUUUCUCUAAUGUUUCGUCAUUCGUCUUCAAAAAUAGCUUAUUUGAGUUCUUUACAUAUUAAAUUAAUAAAUUGUAUAUAAAAUGACUUAGCUAUUGAAUAAUGAUUUGAUAUUAAAUUACACUAGUAAAUAUUAAAUACAUCUCUUUGGCAUGAAUUUCAUAACAAAUGCUUUUUAUACCAGAUAUAGUUAUAUUAUUUAUUGAAAAAAAUCGAUGGAAACUGAAAUUAGUUAUGUAAGAUGUUGUUAUUAAAUAUCAUUCAUAGAAAUAAAGAUGAAUGUUUCCUACUGAUAUUAGCAUUAUUACUUUAUUAUGUGAUGAUAUUUCUCGAAGAAUCAGAAAGGAUUCAUUGAUAUUUUUAUUGAAGUUAAAACGAUUAGACUGAUAUUAUGAUUAUACAUGAACUACAUAACACAACUCAAGAUUAUUAAGAGUUAAUUCUCUAUUUGCUUCUGAAUUACUUUUUAAGAAAUAUAUGCAUUGAAAUAAAAUGAAAUAAAACUAAUAAAAUUAUAUUGUUUUAUUUAGCACAAUUACAAAUGAUAUUAAUUUGAGUAUAAUGUAUUUAUCGAAUUAAUGAAAUUAAAUUUAUUUACGUAUCAAGAGCUAUAACAAAACUGAAGGUUAAUCGAUAGAACUUUAAUUUUAGAUGUUAGACAUAUUCAUUUUAUGAACAAGCAUCUAUACAACUACCCUAACUCAUCACGGUUUACAAGGAAUUAAGUUUCUACUUAAUUAUAUUAAGCAAAAUACUUAUUUAAUGCUAUGAAAAAUUUUGAUUAUAAUGGUGUCAUGUAAGUAACAAUAUAACAAAAAAACUGAAGAAUUUUUUUUGUUACUGAAAUAGUGAUUUCAAAAGCGAAAUUGUCAAUUUUUUAGCUACUACUUUUAGAAAUAGUUAACUCAUAAUAAUAUGAACAUAACUAUAAAUUUUAUUGAUUGAUAAUGUACACUGUCUUAAUACAAAUAAAUCUAGCAGUUUUUAUUUAUCAAAAUUAUUGAUGUCUAAUUCAAUUUUUUUUUAACAAUAUAGUGUUUUUUUUUUUAAGUUUCAAGAGAAUAUAAUUUAUACUUAAUUUAAUAGAACAUUCAUUUAAUUAAAUCAAAGAUAAAUUUAAUUAUACAAAUAAAUAUAACUGUUGUUACUGAUACUUCAAA